GGUUGUUGAGCUAUAGAACUAUGGUGUAGAAUGACACUUUCCUGUUAAAUCACGGUGGACUAAUAAAAUUUAAUUGCUACUUUUGUUGACACAAACUAGCAAUGACGUGGUCCCUACAAGUAGCGGGGUUAGAUUGUUAUAACAUUUAUUUCAUUUAUAUAGAAAUUUCGGAACCAAAGACUAAUUCCGUAAUUCCUGCGUACCAGGUUCAGUAUGGAACUUUUGUUUAUUUGUUCUUUUUUAUUUAUUUAAUACGUAUUUAUUUAUAUAAUAAUAAAUACCAAGAAAGGAUUGUUUCAUUUCGGUAUUAUUCCC
RNAcentral lists this long non-coding RNA (315 nucleotides) under Setaria viridis. RNAcentral describes it as "long non-coding RNA (SVIR_LNC009697)". The record is from RNAcentral. Lineage: Eukaryota; Viridiplantae; Streptophyta; Magnoliopsida; Poales; Poaceae.